AUUGAACGCUGGCGGCAGGCCUAACACAUGCAAGUCGAGCGGAUGAAGGGAGCUUGCUCCUGGAUUCAGCGGCGGACGGGUGAGUAAUGCCUAGGAAUCUGCCUGCUAGUGGGGGAUAACGUCCGGAAACGGGCGCUAAUACCGCAUACGUCCUGAGGGAGAAAGUGGGGGAUCUUCGGACCUCACGCUAUCAGAUGAGCCUAGGUCGGAUUAGCUAGUUGGUGGGGUAAAGGCCUACCAAGGCGACGAUCCGUAACUGGUCUGAGAGGAUGAUAAGUCACACUGGAACUGAGACACGGUCCAGACUCCUACGGGAGGCAGCGGUGGGGAAUAUUGGACAAUGGGCGAAAGCCUGAUCCAGCGAUGCCGCGUGUGUGAAGAAGGGCUUCGGAUUUUAAAGCACUGAAAGUUGGGAGGAAGGGCAGUAAGUUAAUACCUUGCUGUGUUGACGGUACCAACAGAAUAAGCACCGGCUAACUUCGUG
Molecule: ribosomal RNA, 484 nt
Filed under: uncultured bacterium
Lineage: Bacteria
Description: partial 16S ribosomal RNA
Rfam family: Bacterial small subunit ribosomal RNA
Source: RNAcentral